UGUGUGUGUAUCCUGUGUCUGUGUGUGUGUGUAUCCUGUGUGUGUGUGUGUGUGUACCCUGUGUGUGUAUCCUGUGUCUGUGUCUGUGUGUGUGUGUUAGUGUGCGUGCGUGCGUGCGUGUGUAUAAGUAAAACUCCACAAACCAGAGUGUGUGGCUGUGUGUGAGGCUGGAGUGGUUCUUCCGGUCGUCGUCUGGUUCUUCUCGCUACGGUUGCUCAAACUCUGAGCUCAACAUGAUGGCCGCCACACUAACAGAAUAAAUACUGGUUCCCCACUGAGCUGAUGAUCCUCAUUUUUGUAAGCGGGAGUUUCAUGAGGUCAGACUACACUUUUAUCUGGUACGUCAAGGCUUUAAGUCUAAUUUGAAUUGAAAAUAUUUGUUAUUGUUUUAUUUUACUCUUGAAUACCCUUUAUUAUUUUGUCUUGUACAACGCUCUAACUCAGUCCAGCUGAUCGCUUGUGGAUUAAAUUAAUACAUUUCACACCCGUCAGCUUUGUUGUUCUUGAUCUGUAACAACCUCACAGACAGAGUGUGAUUUUAGUUUUGACUUCUUGUGUUAAAUGAAAGUGUGAGUCUGUCACUCGGUUCACAUCUGUCUGUUUGUGCACUAUUUAGCAGAAGAUAUGCACACUUGUGCAACACCAGCGUCUCCACAGGCUGCACAGCGUGAUCCACCAUAAAGAUCAUAUCAGUGGUCACGGCCUCCAGAACAACAAAUGAGUCUGGAUCAGAGGCUGCGUUAGGCCGGACUCUGAUCUCCUAAAACCCAGUUUCUGGCUCACCUGAAAUGAAGAGGUCCAUCCAGGCCUUCUGGUGAUCCGCCACCAGCUCGUCCACGCUGGCCCUCAGCAGCUCCCCCAGCUCCUUCUUGGCUCCGUC
Micropterus salmoides (largemouth bass) is the source of this 880-nucleotide long non-coding RNA. RefSeq lists it as uncharacterized. NCBI's taxonomy places the organism in Eukaryota, Metazoa, Chordata, Actinopteri, Centrarchiformes, Centrarchidae. The record is from RefSeq and is a predicted model, not a curated record. The transcript has 3 exons.